Molecule: long non-coding RNA, 376 nt
Organism: Brienomyrus brachyistius
Lineage: Eukaryota; Metazoa; Chordata; Actinopteri; Osteoglossiformes; Mormyridae
Exons: 3
Source: RefSeq, a predicted model, not a curated record
AUCCUGUCUUCUCAGUCUGAGAGGCAUCAGCAGAGGAACCUUCAUGCAGCGUCUCCCUGAGCACAGGACUGACUGUCUCUCUCCUUCACAGGACGUGUCCUCUCUGAGGAGCUGCCCUCUGGGUAUGAAGAUGUGGAGGACAGUGAGGGAGACCCUCUCUCAGGUUCAGGGUUGAUGAUGACAGGAGACACAGCAGAGGACUAUGAUGAUGUUGAGGGUAUAGAGCAGAGUGCGCAUGUUAUACAGGAUGAGAGAGCCUUGACCACACUGCCCCCUGGGGAGGGCCCCCCUGUACCCGGCCAGACUGACUACGAUGAUGUGGGGGAGGAGGGACUGACAGUCCUGCCUGAGGAAGCUCCUGUCCAGAGGUUCACAU